Non-coding RNA from Maylandia zebra (zebra mbuna), 947 nucleotides. The record is from the annotation of a RefSeq genome assembly. Lineage: Eukaryota; Metazoa; Chordata; Actinopteri; Cichliformes; Cichlidae.
AUUCACCUCACAGCAGAAGUGAAAGCAGUUAAAAGUAAGAGAAUACAGAAGCAGGCUUUCAGUGGAAACAGCGGCUUGGCAGCUGAAAAGGAAGUGGUCUGUUAGACCCUAACAUCAUCACCUUCAGGGACACGAAAAUAGAUACAAGAUGAGGUCUCACUGGAUUACAUCGAUUCUUACUGAACUGAUCACAUCUGGGUUCUGGAUGCUGCUUGUUCCUGCUGCUGAGGUCCAACACGUCCAGCUGGGUUCAACAGCCAGCGUGGGCUGUAACCUCUCCUAUCUUUAUGACACAACGUGGCUUAAGCAUCACCCAGAUAAACCUCCCACCAUGAUCUUCUCUGCCAGCCUCAAAGAGGGACGACCCAUCCAAGGGUUUCAGCUCAACAGUCGUUAUACAGUGAAUUUGGUGAACCGCUCUCUGGCACUGAUGAUCUCCAGUAUCGAGGACAGAGACCUGGGGCUGUACUACUGUAUUUCCUACGUAAACUCAGACUUAAAAAUUGGGGAAGGAACCAAGCUUCAGGUUUCAGGUUUAUCUCGGUUUCUUUUUAAUCACUGGUACUGCAUGAUCACGGGUUUCAUCCUCAUGAUUAUGGUACUGGCUGUUUGUGUCACCCACUGGAAAGCUCGGGCGAAGGAGAAGAAGAAGAAGACCGCCAUCCGGACCAGAUCCUGACAUCACCCGUAAAUAUAUGACAAAUAGUAGUAAUACUUCAACUCCGACACCAACUACACUUUCACAGCUGAUAGUUUAUGCCCACUAUUACAUGGAUUCAAUGUAUUAAUGUUGCAUUUGUAUAUAUACAACCUGUGUGUGUAUGUCUGGGUUUUUAUUUUGUGUAUAAAGUGUAGAUUCUUUGUUUUUCUUCCACUUCUUAUUUAUGGCAUUCUUAUGUUGGGUUGCUAAAUGCACUGUAUUUUUUCCUUCAAGUAGUUAAAAUGAU